UCCCUGGUAGUCUAGGGGUUAAGACUUUGUGCUUUCACUGCUGGGGGCCUGGGUUCAAUCCCUGGUCAGGGAA
Molecule: transfer RNA, 73 nt
Filed under: Bos taurus (domestic cattle)
Lineage: Eukaryota; Metazoa; Chordata; Mammalia; Artiodactyla; Bovidae
Also listed under: 5 other names
Rfam family: tRNA
About the family: Transfer RNA (tRNA) molecules are approximately 80 nucleotides in length. Their secondary structure includes four short double-helical elements and three loops (D, anti-codon, and T loops). Further hydrogen bonds mediate the characteristic L-shaped molecular structure. tRNAs have two regions of fundamental functional importance: the anti-codon, which is responsible for specific mRNA codon recognition, and the 3' end, to which the tRNAs corresponding amino acid is attached (by aminoacyl-tRNA synthetases). tRNAs cope with the degeneracy of the genetic code in two manners: having more than one tRNA (with a specific anti-codon) for a particular amino acid; and 'wobble' base-pairing, i.e. permitting non-standard base-pairing at the 3rd anti-codon position.
Source: Rfam by way of RNAcentral